CCGAGCGCGAUCUUGAACCGAUCCCUCCACUCGAUGUAGUCCCCCGAGAACAAGUUCUUGUCCAGGGACUGGUUCUCCACGUACUCGUAGACCAAGAGCUUGUGCUUGCCCUCACAACAGAAACCCCACAUCCUCACCAGGUUCAUGUGAUGUAUCUUCCCAAUUGUACUGACUUCAGCCCAGAAGACCUCCUCCUCAUGGUACACAUCUCCGAGUCUCUUCACGGCCACGACCCUUUGGUCCGCUAAGACACCCUUGUAUACUGAUCCUGACGCUCCUCUCCCUAUCUCUCCCUUGAAGUUCUGGGUCGCACUCUUGAGUUCCUCAUAGCUGAACCUCCUGAACUGGCUCGUUAUUGCACGGUAUCCGUCUUCCAACGUGCUCUGCACAUCACCCUUUCUGAAAAGAAUCCACCAGCCUGAGAGAAAGAUAAGGAUCUCGACCGCCCCAAUCGCAGAUGCGAACCAGUAGAGGUAGGCCCAUCUCACCCUCUUGCUUAUAGUGUCAUACAUGGUCGAUGAACCUACCAUUAAUUGGUCUCUGGCCUUGGAGCAAUCAGGAUUGCUGCCGUUGCGAAUCUGCUCCAAGGAUGCCACCAUGGAGAUGGGCAACUUCAGAUGUAAAGUUCCGGGAAAAGACGGUUGCUUGUAGCCGCUGAAGAGCGAUCUCUUCCCGAAACACAAUCUUUGCGAUUCCCGGUAGCUGAACCCCAAGCAGCUGCAGUCAUCCAAACAGGCCUGCCUGCAGAAAUUGAACGAGGCGUUGUUGUUGUAGAUGGCAUCGAACCCAUAAUAGUCCGUGUUGGGAAGCGCCAAGAACUUCACGUCCUGAGACUUGGAGCAGGUGAAAUUGAACUUGGGCUUGCAACCUUUGUUCCAGUCAGUAGGCUCGCUCAUCUCAUAACCAGGAGGGCAUGUGCACUUGGGCUCAGGCGUGUACACACAAAUCCCAUUCCUCCCACAUAUACCGUGCACAUUGCACAAUCCCGGAAGCGCCUGCCAUGUCACCACCCACGACCUAGACUGCUUGUCCAAGCUGAAGAGCCUCAGGUUUCCGUCCUGGUCCAUUGUCAGCCGCCUUUUGAUCCCCAGGCCUCGGUCGGAAGCAUUGAAUUGAAACUGGUCGCUUGAUUGAAAAUGGCCUGUGUCAUCAAGGACUGCGAUCCGGCUACUGUUGUAAUUUGUUCUCCCGUUCUGGAACACGGUGAAGUCUGGGUUAGGCCAAUAGAGGCUGGAUAUGUCCAGUCCGUCAUACAUCAACCUCAGCACAUUGUCAUUGUCGAAAUAUAGGUUGAAGUAGCCAGAGUAAAAGGCUCCUCCUUUUAGAGAUGACACCAAUUUCUUGUUCUUAGUGAGGAGCUGGUUUGGCAGCAGAGUAUCAGUUGGAUAAUCAAAGCUUUGCCAUAGAAUUGUCCUAUCAGUACUUCUCAGCACAAGAUUACCCGAAUUCAAGAGCUCGAGCGAACGGGCAUCGGUAGAAGUUUUGUUGGUCUGCCAGACCACAGAACCAUCCACAUCGGUCAGGAUCAACGAGCCAGUGCCCUGGAGCGUGAACUUAGAACCUUGGCCAUUCACGGGCUCGUCUCGGUUGGCUGUCCAAACGACGGUCCUGUCCAAGGAGUUGGUGAACCAGAUUGAGAGCCAGUAAGCAUUGCCUCCAAGGCCAUAGAAGCCGCAUGUGAAGGUCUUAUCUGGGGAUGUUAGAGUGUCUGAGUCAUGUUCUUCAACUGAUAGAGAAGAGUCUCUAUGCAAAACGUUCGAGUUUGCAAACGUAAAACAUGUGGAAAAGAUCAUAAGUGUGAAGAGAGAAAAGCUUGAAAUAGUGAUGGUUUUGUGGUUCAUCACUGGAGUUUUAGGAAACAAAUGGACAGAUAGAAUGAAGAGCACGAUUACAAACCCAAAUAUAUAGAAAUGUCGAUGACUUGCCCGAACUGAACGUCUUUCUUAGAUUUAGAAAAAUGAUAUCUGUGACAACUUGGGGUGCAUACUUUUCUUUUGAUAUUUGAUAUAAUAUAAUAUGAACGGCAUUGCGGAGUCAAAUAUAUCCCGCGAAAGGCCAAAUAAGAAGAGAUAAGGAGAAAUUUUGGUCCACACGAUUUAUUUUGAUUGACCGUGGGGCAACAUCUGUGAACGAAGAAAAUCAUCAUCGCGACAUGGCUUCUGGUCAAAUAUACCGCACUGUUGGAAUAAUUUCCUUGCUUACAAUUUUUUUUUUUCAAAGGCCUCAAAUAUUUCACAUCAGCUUAUAUCUAGCGGUAUGCGGGAGGCAUUGCGGAGUCAAAUAUAUCCCGCGAAAGGCCAAAUAAGAAGAGAUAAGGAGAAAUUUUGGUCCACACGAUUUAUUUUGAUUGACCGUGGGGCAACAUCUGUGAACGAAGAAAAUCAUCAUCGUGACAUGGCUUCUGGUCAAAUAUACCGCACUGUUGGAAUAAUUUCCUUGCUUACAAUUUUCUUUUUUCAAAGGCCUCAAAUAUUUCACAUCAGCUUACAUCUAGCGGUAUGCGGGAGAUUUUGUGGAACCUAUGGACCAUGUACAACCGCAUGAUCGGUAGGUUUCAUAGUACGUAUUAGAGUUUAUAAGGGAGGUUUGAGGUUUCAAAAUUCUGGAACAGUUGAGUAUAAGUAGGUGCCAGGCUUUAUGGUCAUAACGCCCUUUACCCACCUCGUGCCCUGCACCCUAUACCCUACGCAGAGUAUUUAUAGGAAGGUAUUCAUUUACCCUGUAUAAUUAUUCUUAAAUUAAAUAUAUGUCUUCUUAACAUUCUCCUUUUCUUUUCAAAAUUUUCACAUUUAUAAAUGUGAAAAUCCUAGUUGAUAAGCAAUUUUCAAUCCCAUUAAAAAGAUAAAUCUCCAACUUCAUUUCAUCCUUCCUCUCUCUAUGACAAGCUUGGCUACGUCUGUCGAAUACUUUUAGUUCAUGCUUUUAAGUACAGUCGGAUACUCUUUAAUGAAAACUCGUAGAUUUAAAUGAUGGGAGGAAAUUGAUUCAAUUUUUUUUAUUGUGUUUUUGAUAUUUUUAUCCUUUGAGAAUUAUACUAAUACUAAAAAGGAACACGUAUUGUAUUAGAUUAUUUGUAUGUUUUGUGUUAAAUGCACGGUAUGAAUAACACCACCAUGGCAAUCUUUUUUUUUCUCUCUCUCUCUCUUUAUGAAAAAGGACAGGUAAUUGAGGGCUCCCAAAAACCUGCGGAAUAGGCAAGUUUCAGGAUAAUUUCAAGGAUAGGUUCGAGAUUUCGAAAACCCAAAAGUAGUACCUAUAGAGUAUGUUCAAGAGUUGGGUGACUGCCCUCCCAACUCUUGAACUUGGACAGCCCUAUUUAUAUAUUUACCUCUUCAUCUAUUUGCUUAAACAGUAAAAAAGAAAAAUAAAAAUAAAAAGAAAAGGAAAAAGUACUUGAGUCUAUUUUGGAAAGGGGUAUUGUUUAAGGAGUCUUGGGUUACUUUUUAAGGUUAAUACUACAAAAAAUCUCAAACUGGUACAUAUAUUACAAAUUUACCAUAAACUAAUUUUUUGACCACUAAAAACUCCAAACUAGUACACAUGUGAUAAAUUUUUCCCAAAUGACCACAAAAAAUUUGAACUAAUAUAUUUGUGAUAAAUUUAUCUCAAAUUAAUUUUUUGACUGCUAAAAACCCUAAAUGAGUACAUCUGUGAUAAAUAUACUCCUCACACAACUAGUACACCGGUGACAAAUGGAGAGUAAAAUCUCAAACUGGUACACCAGUCAACUGUGACGUGUCAUCUAGCUUAGCAAUUUGACAGUAAAAUUUAACUGAAACUAAUAGAGAGCAAAUUUGUUAUAAGUGUACUGAUUUGGGAUAAAUUUGUUAAAAGCAUAUCAAUUUAGAGUUUUUUGUGGUUAAAACAUUAAUCUGGGUUAAAAUUUGUUACAGAUAUAUCAAUUUGAGGUUUUUGUUGUUGUAUUAAACCUAAUUUUUAAGUACACAUGAACGAUUUCUUAAUUAGUGCCCCAGGGGCACUUUUUAACGGGUCCUUUUCAAACUAUUCAAAUAUUUAUUUUCAUGUCAAGUCACAAGCAGGGGAGUCUUGUUUUGCUAGUCAUUGCCUAUUCACUUGCAAGACAAUAUUUCCCGUCCUCGUUUUCAAAAUAUUUAGUUUGGGAUAACUUUGUCAAAGGUAUAUCGGUUUGGAGUUUUUUGUGUUAAAAAAUCUAACUUUGGGUAAAUUUGUCAUAAAUGUACCAAUUUAUGGUAUUUUCAUGAUAUUAACCCUACUUUUUAAGUAUACCAAAAUAGAGAGUAUUUUGAUUUCCAAUAUGCUGAUUACAUGUAACUUGAGAAAUAAAGUACAUCAAAUUGCACACUUGCUUUUAAAGAUUUUUUAAUUAGUGCCGUAGGGGCGCUUUUUAACGAAUCCUUUUCAAACUAUUCAAAUAUUUAUUUUCAUGUCACGUGGUGGGUAGGGGAGUCUUGUUUUGCUAGUCGUUGCUUAUUCACUUGUAAAACAAUAUUUCCCGUCCUUGUUUUUCCAUGGCAUACUUGAGAUAUAGCAAAAUUUCCUAGUCUCAACUAUAUUGGUUGAAAACUGAAAUUAGAAUACGACAGACAUCUUCAACUCACCAACUCCUCCACAAAACAACAAUACUAAAGGUGCAUUUGAUAACCAUUUUAUUUUUGGGAACAUUUUUUUACUUAGAAUUGAUUUUUUUUAUUCUAUUUUCGGGAACAAUUUCUAUGUGUUUGAAGGUGCUUGGUAACUGUCCAAAAUUUUUAUUCUUGGGAUAAAAAUGUGUUUGUUAGGAUUUUUAUUUUUUUAAUACUUUUAUUUUAUAUAUAUAUAUAUAUAUUUGUUUUUCCUUCUAUUCUUCUUCCUCCUUGUUUGUGGCCGGUCACCAACCACGGUGGUGAUUGGCGACGGGCUAGGCAAGAUUUGGUGAGCUCACUUGACCACCGAUGAGGCUAUCGAGGCCAAGCCUUGCCGGUGGUUAGGCGAGCCUCCAGUGAGCUCACCGGGCCUUGCCUAGCUAGUCACUAGCCAUUGCCGGCAACGGCGGCAGUGACGGUUGGCGGUGGCCGGUGACCAAUUAGGACUAGGAGGAAGAAGAAGAGAGAAUGAGAAAAGAAGAAAAGAAAGAGUUGGGCUUGAUUCUUGAAAUUGUUCCUAAAAAUAAUAAGCUACUUUUUUUAUUUAUUUAAAUUUCUUGAUUCUGUUCUAAGUCUAUAACCGGGAACAUAAAAAUGGAUUGUUCUCGAGAAUAAAAAAUUUACCAAACGGAUUUCUGUCCUUUAUUUGUUCUAGGAAACAAAAGAAUAAAAUCAGUUGUUCCCUGGAGUGUUUUCAAAUAGGCCAUAAGUGCUCUCUAGAGAAAUUAGUAACCAGUUUCCGCAAUGAAUCACGAAGCACGUUGAGGAUUAGAACUAAAGUCAAAACAAUUAACAAAAUUCAAUGUGAAAUGAUGUUCUUAGGGUCAGUCAAUUUUUAUGUUGACCUAAAGGGGUCAAUUGGGUCUGAUUGGUUGAGAAAAAUCUAGAUUACUUAUGCUAGAGCAUUUCUAGAAGUCAUAGUUCUACAAGAAAGUUAUCGAUUUAGUGGACAAAUCGUUGAUCACAUUAUUAUCAAUUGACAAUUUAGUUCUCGAUCGACAAGACAAUUAUUGGUUCCGAGUCUACUUUGAUUACUCCUCUUUUGGAGGGUGUCUACAUUCCUUGAAGGUCAUCAACUCAGUAACAUUGGAAUAAGCAAAUCUUGGAUACAUGUACCAACAACAUUUAUUUCUUAAAUGUUGUUUAAACUUUCUUGAGUUUGUAUUUAAUUGUUUUUGUUUUCUAGUAACACUAGUUAUCUUUCCUAUGAAUCUUUUUGUCUUUCCAAAGAAUCUUAGUAAUCACUCAUGCUUGGGGGAUUGUUCUAAGUUCAUCUAUAUAAGCAUGCCAUGAUGAAUAAGAAAGUAGACUUGUUUUGAUUGAUAACUUAUUUAGCAUUUGGCUUGAGUACAAGAAGGAUUUCUUAUUUUGUUCUCAUAUCUUAGGUGGAUUCUUAAGAAUGGUGAGCGAUCUAUCUAAUUUUGUUAUCACUCAUGUUACCUCUCACUUCUUUACACUUUUUUUUGUGUGAAUUGCAGAGCCAAGUCACAAUCGCAAGUCAUCAAAAUGGCCAUUAGGGGUGUGCAAAAGAAUCAGGAACCACCCAAAUCGCUCGGAACCAAAUCAAACCAAAUUGGAACGGGUGAUUCCCAUAGGGCUAGGUCCAGUUUCUGAUUCCAAUUCAAUGGAAUCAGUGAGUAUCAAUCUAGUCCCUGGUUCUAGGUGUGAAACUGCCUAUCCACCCACCUAGACCAUAUAUAUAUAACUAUUCGCACUUAAUUGAUCCAUUUUGCUCUGAUCUCGAGUUGUUUUAGGAAUGUGAUAAAAGCUCAUCAAUCUUGCUCGCCCAUAUAAUUAAGAUCUUGGUUUCCAUAAAUUGAACUUUCCAAGUAUAUUUCGUCUUUCAAGAGAUCUAAUUAUCCGAAUUGAUUAUAAUAAGAAUAAUUGAUCAUAAGAUGCUAUAUCCAGCCAUAAGAUCUUCUACAAACCAUAUGAACUGAAUCCUUGAAGAUAAACUUGCAUCUGGAUAAGUCUUUCACUCGUUGGUCUGGAAACUAUCAGUAAGGUCAGACUUUGAGAUUAAAGUCUAGCGGUCUUUAGACUUUGACAGUAGUGUUUGGAGUUCUUUAGACUAUAACACUUAAGUCUGCAAGUCUUCAGGCUAGAUUUUAGGAAACGUUUUGUCAGCUUCAAAACAAUUAAGGAGUUUUCUCUAACAAAAGUAUUUUUUUUUUCACUUCCCUACUUAAAUAUAAACAUAUUAACUUGUCAAUAUUUAUAUAUCAUUAAAAUUUCAGGCGUUUAAAAUUCAAAAUAAAAAGUCACAAUACACGGACUGCAAAAUUGGAUAUAAGUGAUGAAUAGACUGAAAAUGAGGUAUUAAACAUGGUGCGCUGGUCAAAGGAGAAAGCAACGACUGAUCUUUGUCAUGAUUCGUACAUAUGGCCGGCUGCUGCUGAAAUGUUUGAAAUUUAGUGAUUGCGAGGUUAAACAAAUGAAGAAAGUUAAUCAUCCCAUUUGACCAUUUAUCCGAAUUAAACAAUAGAUUUGGAUUGUUCUAAUAAUAAUUUAAUACAGAGUCGGAGGAGACAUUAUUAUGCACCGAUGUAUAUUGACCUCUUGUCAACAUAUUGCUUUGACUUCUUGACUUGAAUUGAGUUUCUUAGAAGCAAAUUUUAAUUUAACCAUCUUUGAGACAUCAACUAAGCCAACUUUUGCUUCAACGGACAAAUUUCUCAUAGGCUCACCAUGAAUAAUCUCCUUCUCAUUUUCUGAUAAAAACAGAACGAUAUUAAAUUUCUUCCAUAACAGAAAGAUGACACAAUCUUUUACACCUAACAAGAAGGAGAAAAAUUGAAAAAUCGAUCUUAAUCUUCAUUAUCUGACUUUGGCAAUUUCCUUUCGCCAUCAAUUUCUAGCAGUUGAUGCACUAUUGAAUCCAUGGUUGGUCUCUUGUUCCGGUCCUCCUCCAAACAUGACACACCAAUCUCAACUAGCAUUCUUGCCUGCUUCCUGCUAUAUUUCCCUUUCAAUCUCUUAUCUACCAAAUCCUCUAUCCCCAAAUCCUCGCCACAUUGAAUCCUCCUCUUAAUCUCCCGGAUGAAUACUGUCAGCUCGGCUUCCUGCUCCUCGUUCUCCUCUCUCUUCACGACCCAAUUUGAGAGUCGAAUCCCCUUCACUAUCUCCAGGACCAUCACCCCGUAACUGUACACAUCGACCUUUGCGGUGAUCGUGAGGUUCAGGGCCCACUCAGGUGCCAUGUAGCCCCUCGUGCCCCUUAUGCGCGAGAACUGCGAAUUCGCGCCAUCCCUCCGGAGCAGUUUCGCCAGUCCAAAGUCCGCGAUCUUGGGCUCGAAUGUCUUAUCCAAGAGGAUAUUCUCGGGCUUCACGUCGCAGUGGAUGACCCACUCGAGGCACUCGUGGUGCAGGUAGGCCAGCCCUUUGGCGGUGCCGAGCGCGAUCUUGAACCGAUCCCUCCACUCGAUGUAGUCCCCCGAGAACAAGUUCUUGUCCAGGGACUGAUUCUCCACGUACUCGUAGACCAAGAGCUUGUGCUUGCCCUCACAACAGAAACCCCACAUCCUCACCAGGUUCAUGUGAUGUAUCUUCCCAAUUGUACUGACUUCAGCCCAGAAGACCUCCUCCUCAUGGUACACAUCUCCGAGUCUCUUCACGGCCACGACCCUUUGGUCCGCUAAGACACCCUUGUAUACUGAUCCUGACGCUCCUCUCCCUAUCUCUCCCAUGAAGUUCUGGGUCGCACUCUUGAGUUCCUCAUAGCUGAACCUCCUGAACUGGCUCCUUAUUGCACGGUAUCCGUCUUCCAACGUGCUCUGCACAUCACGCUUUCUGAAAAGAAUCCACCAGCCUGAGAAAAAGAUAAGGAUCUCGACCGCCCC
RNAcentral lists this long non-coding RNA (8443 nucleotides) under Eucalyptus grandis. RNAcentral describes it as "long non-coding RNA (EGRA_LNC006620)". The record is from RNAcentral. Lineage: Eukaryota; Viridiplantae; Streptophyta; Magnoliopsida; Myrtales; Myrtaceae.